UACUCCUACGGGAGGCAGCAGCCACAAGCGGUGGAGCAUGUGGUUCCUACGGGAGGCAGCAGUGGGGAAUUUUGGACAAUGGGGGCAACCCUGAUCCAGCAAUGCCGCGUGAGUGAAGAAGGCCUUCGGGUUGUAAAGCUCUUUUGUCAGGGAAGAAACGGUGAGGGCUAAUAUCCUUUGCUAAUGACGGUACCUGAAGAAUAAGCACCGGCUAACUACGUGCCAGCAGCCGCGGUAAUACGUAGGGUGCAAGCGUUAAUCGGAAUUACUGGGCGUAAAGCGUGCGCAGGCGGUUAUGUAAGUCAGAUGUGAAAUCCCCGGGCUCAACCUGGGAAUGGCAUUUGAGACUGCAUGGCUAGAGUGUGUCAGAGGGGGGUAGAAUUCCACGUGUAGCAGUGAAAUGCGUAGAUAUGUGGAGGAACACCGAUGGCGAAGGCAGCCCCCUGGGUCAAGAUUGACGCUCAUGCACGAAAGCGUGGGGAGCAAACAGGAUUAGAUACCCUGGUAGUCCACGCCCUAAACGAUGUCUACUAGUUGUCGGGUCUUAAUUGACUUGGUAACGCAGCUAACGCGUGAAGUAGACCGCCUGGGGAGUACGGUCGCAAGAUUAAAACUCAAAGGAAUUGACGGGGACCCGCACAAGC
Molecule: ribosomal RNA, 644 nt
Filed under: uncultured bacterium
Lineage: Bacteria
Description: bacterial SSU rRNA
Rfam family: Bacterial small subunit ribosomal RNA
Source: RNAcentral